UAUUCUUUUGCUGUUAUGCCAUCUCCCCAUGUGUAUGUUUUUGGUAAGGAAUUGCGAAGCCAGAACUUGCGUAACAUCUCCAGAUCUCCAGUCAGCAUACAGACUCAUCUUCCCCUCGCUCAGCAUAACGUUAAUGGCCUAAUGGCGAUGAGAGUCUCUGACCCCCUUGUGGAGCUGAAGAGUUUUGUAAGAGAGCUGCGUGGUGGGAUUGCAGAAGAGCAAGGACCACACACUACCUUGAGCUUCAGGAGGAGACCUAAGGAAGACCACAAAUCUAGACUGAGAGUCUCAUUCACAAAAAGCCGUUAUAGAGACCGACAGAAACUAGAGGUGCCAAAAGUACCACAAGGUCAAUUGGGAGAAUAA
This 366-nucleotide long non-coding RNA is filed under the name Sinocyclocheilus grahami. RNAcentral's name for it is "lncRNA (ENSSGRG00000006021.1)". The record is from RNAcentral. Lineage: Eukaryota; Metazoa; Chordata; Actinopteri; Cypriniformes; Cyprinidae.